Non-coding RNA from Triticum aestivum (bread wheat), 137 nucleotides. Lineage: Eukaryota; Viridiplantae; Streptophyta; Magnoliopsida; Poales; Poaceae. The record is from Rfam.
CUGGUAAGGGGUGCUCGGGUAGCCAGGGUGACUUGCCCAUGGAACCGCCGCACGCCUCGCUCCGUGGCAGAGAGCUGGGCUGCCAGGGGAGUUUCACAGGCAAAUCAUCCUUGGCUAUCGAAGAUGGCCUCUUACCC